ACGCCGCGUGCGGGAUGAAGGCCUUCGGGUUGUAAACCGCUUUCAGUAGGGAAGAAGCGAAAGUGACGGUACCUACAAAAGAAGCACCGGCUAACUAUGUGCCAGCAGCCGCGGUAAUACAUAGGGUGCAAGCGUUGUCCGGAAUUAUUGGGCGUAAAGAGCUCGUAGGUCGUUUGUUACGUCGGAUGUGAAAACCUGAGGCUCAACCUCAGGCCUGCAUUCGAUACGGGCAAACUAGAGUUUGGUAGGGGAGACUGGAAUUCCUGGUGUAGCGGUGGAAUGCGCAGAUAUCAGGAGGAACACCAAUGGCGAAGGCAGGUCUCUGGGCCAAUACUGACACUGAGGAGCGAAAGUCUGGGGAGCGAACAGGAUUAGAUACCCUGGUAGUCCAGACCGUAAACGGUGGGCACUAGUUGUGGGAACCUUCCACGGUUUCUGCGACGCAGCUAACGCAUUAAGUGCCCCGCCUGGGGAGUACGAUCGCAAGAUUAAAACUCAAAUGAAUUGACGG
RNAcentral lists this ribosomal RNA (511 nucleotides) under uncultured bacterium. Its description in RNAcentral is "bacterial SSU rRNA". It matches the Rfam family "Bacterial small subunit ribosomal RNA", at positions 394 to 916 of the family's 1533-position model. The record is from RNAcentral.